This 76-nucleotide small RNA is filed under the name Candidatus Jidaibacter acanthamoebae. RNAcentral describes it as "Candidatus Jidaibacter acanthamoeba ctRNA_pND324". The record is from RNAcentral. Lineage: Bacteria; Pseudomonadati; Pseudomonadota; Alphaproteobacteria; Rickettsiales; Candidatus Midichloriaceae.
UUAGGGGUCUAUCAGACCUCACAUGAAAAAAGAGUAGUUAGUUACAAGCUAGCUGCUCUUUUUUUUUAUUAUACAU